UUAUUGUCAAGUUUGUUUUUUAGCGGGUAGCAAUUUUCGUGGUUACAAAGGGGGAUAACUGCUGGUAGGUUUUAUUUUGGAAGUAUGUCGCUGGCCUGCCUGCCAUCAUUGCCAUGUGGGUUAUUCUUUUGGAAGAAUAGAUGGUCUACAAACGUCAAUCUGUCACAAGUGAGACUUCAACACGCUAUGAAAUAUGAACUGAACUUUGAUAUAAACUUUCACUACAGUC
Molecule: long non-coding RNA, 229 nt
Organism: Haliotis rufescens (red abalone)
Lineage: Eukaryota; Metazoa; Mollusca; Gastropoda; Lepetellida; Haliotidae
Exons: 2
Source: RefSeq, a predicted model, not a curated record